RNAcentral lists this ribosomal RNA (409 nucleotides) under uncultured bacterium. RNAcentral's name for it is "bacterial SSU rRNA". It matches the Rfam family "Bacterial small subunit ribosomal RNA", at positions 505 to 916 of the family's 1533-position model. The record is from RNAcentral.
GUGUCAGCCGCCGCGGUAAUACGGAGGAUCCGAGCGUUAUCCGGAUUUAUUGGGUUUAAAGGGUGCGCAGGCGGGAGAUUAAGUCGGCGGUGAAAUUUUGCAGCUCAACUGUAAAAGUGCCUUCGAAACUGGUUUUCUUGAGUGUAGAUGAAGUAGGCGGAAUUUGUGGUGUAGCGGUGAAAUGCAUAGAUAUCACGAGGAACUCCGAUUGCGCAGGCAGCUUACUAAGCUACAACUGACGCUCAUGCACGAAGGCGUGGGGAUCAAACAGGAUUAGAUACCCUGGUAGUCCACGCAGUAAACGAUGAUUACUCGCUGUUUGCGAUAUACGGCAAGCGGCUUAGCGAAAGCGUUAAGUAAUCCACCUGGGGAGUACGUUCGCAAGAAUGAAACUCAAAUAAAUUGACGG